GAUGAACGCUGGCGGCGUGCCUAAUACAUGCAAGUCGAGCGAACGGACGAGAAGCUUGCUUCUCUGAUGUUAGCGGCGGACGGGUGAGAAACACGUGGAUAACCUACCUAUAAGACGGGGAUAACUUCGGGAAACGGUAGCUAAUACCGGAUAAUAUUUUGAACCGCAGGGUUCAAAAGGAAAAGACGGUCUUGCGGUCACUUAUAGAUGGAUCCGCGCUGCAUUAGCUAGUUGGUAAGGUAACGGCUUACCAAGGCAACGAUGCAUAGCCGACCUGAGAGGGUGAUCGGCCACACUGGAACUGAGACACGGUCCAGACUCCUACGGGAGGCCGCAGUAGGGAAUCUUCCGCAAUGGGCGAAAGCCUGACGGAGCAACGCCGCGUGAGUGAUGAAGGUCUUCGGAUCGUAAAACUCUGUUAUUAGGGAAGAACAUAUGUGUAAGUAACUGUGCACAUCUUGACGGUACCUAAUCAGAAAGCCACGGCUAACUACGUG
Molecule: ribosomal RNA, 497 nt
Filed under: uncultured bacterium
Lineage: Bacteria
Description: partial 16S ribosomal RNA
Rfam family: Bacterial small subunit ribosomal RNA
Source: RNAcentral